GCCAAAUAUGGGCACGCGGCCGCGAGAGUAUGGAUGGUGCAAGCGUUAUCCGGAAUGACUGGGCGUACAGCGUGCGUAGGCGGGUUGUGAAGUGAGAGGGGAAACCGUGGGGCGAAACCCUGGCGUUGCAUCUCGUACUGGCAGGCUAGAGGAAGGCAGAGGCAAGGGGAAUUAGCAGUGUAGCAGUGAAAUGCGUAGAUAUUGCUAGGAACACCAAUGGCGAAGGCAGCUUGCUGGGCCUUUUCUGACGCUGAGGUACGAAAGCGUGGGGAGCGAACAGGAUUAGAUACCCUGGUAGUC
Molecule: ribosomal RNA, 300 nt
Filed under: uncultured Agromyces sp.
Lineage: Bacteria; Bacillati; Actinomycetota; Actinomycetes; Micrococcales; Microbacteriaceae
Description: bacterial SSU rRNA
Rfam family: Bacterial small subunit ribosomal RNA
Source: RNAcentral